Molecule: unclassified non-coding RNA, 312 nt
Filed under: Bombus terrestris (buff-tailed bumblebee)
Lineage: Eukaryota; Metazoa; Arthropoda; Insecta; Hymenoptera; Apidae
Description: misc RNA ENSBTSG00005034680.1
Source: RNAcentral
GUUAGUUUUCUCUUUAAUUGUAAUCUAGUUAGUUACUUUGAUUUCUAGAGGACAUAUGCUUUAGAGGAUUUCAAGAGCCAUCUGUCUGAGAAAGAUUCGCGAUACGAUCUGGGGCCCUUCAAGAAAGAAUACUUAGGAUGUGAUAUUCAAAGGGGGACCAUAAUCCGGCCUCCCACGAUGUUCCUAAAUUUAACAUUUCUUAUGAAUUAUGAGAGGCUUGUACACAGUUUUCGAACCCUAGCCAACUGUGUUUUAUAAAACGUCGGCCCACGUGCGCACGAGCGCAAUCGACGCGAUGAAUUGAUUGGUACA